Molecule: small nuclear RNA, 107 nt
Filed under: Delphinapterus leucas (beluga whale)
Lineage: Eukaryota; Metazoa; Chordata; Mammalia; Artiodactyla; Monodontidae
Source: RNAcentral
GUGCUUGCUUCGGCAGCACAUAUACUAAAACUGGAACGAUACAGAGACGAUUAGCAUGGCCCCCGUGCAAGGACGGCACGCAAAUUCGUGAAGCAUUUCAUAUUUUU